AUCUCCAGUAUUGAGCAGCAAUCUAAUUCACCCUACGGGGUUCAUCCGUGGAUGUAGGUGUUAGUGCCAAACCACGUUAAACAUUGUCUUCCUUCACAGUUUUGAGUAAACAAAAAUUUGGUUCUCCAAAACCCUGAGCUAGCGGCAUCGGAUAUCAAAGGUAAUCCUUACUCUAUCAAAUUGUGCUAAUAUCUUUGCGGUUUUUGCAGGAUAUUCAUCUGAAGUAGCCAAAGCUUCUCCAGUUUUUUAUCGUCUUUUAAAAAAAAAAAA
This is a long non-coding RNA of Papaver somniferum (opium poppy), 270 nucleotides long. RefSeq lists it as uncharacterized. Lineage: Eukaryota; Viridiplantae; Streptophyta; Magnoliopsida; Ranunculales; Papaveraceae. The record is from RefSeq and is a predicted model, not a curated record. The transcript is spliced from 2 exons.